Molecule: unclassified non-coding RNA, 2690 nt
Filed under: Hevea brasiliensis (rubber tree)
Lineage: Eukaryota; Viridiplantae; Streptophyta; Magnoliopsida; Malpighiales; Euphorbiaceae
Source: RNAcentral
CAGCAUCAUAGAAUCCUAGCUAAUUGCUAGAGGAUUUAGAAAAGGAAACUUGGGAGUCCCUUCAAAGCAAAUGCACAUUCAGGAUCGUGUUAGUGAUUCUGCAAUUAAGGAACUUCUAUGCAAGGUGAAAUGAAUCAGAAACACUGACAAAUCUGAAGUUAAUUAACAAUAACAUACUAGAUAAGACGAGAAACUAAACUUCUAAUAGGAGCCCAUAAUCUAUUAAUUCUAACAUGUUAAUAAACAGAGUUUCUUAUGUUAAUCACGGACAGGUUUCCAAACUGAAAGUGCGUAGACUAUUCUCCCCUUCCAUCCCUGCAGCAUCCACCGGCUAUCCUCAUCAACAACAAAGUUCUUAUUGUAAUUUGAUUCCACAGUAGCUGUUACUUGCUUCGUGAUCUCCUGGUCUAAUGGAAGCUGCCUGAACCCAGCCUUAACAUUUCGAACUUGCCACUGCCUAUAUGUCUCUGGCCUUUCAACUCUGUCCCCACCCUCACAGGCUAUGACAUUCAUUGCAUACCUUCCAAAUAUUUCUUUCUCAAACAUCAGUCUCGCAGGUUCUUCACGAGGUAUAGUGGCAUCAAUCAUGUCAAACAAUGCUGAGAAGUGGAAGAGUGCAUCUCGAAAACGUGUGAGGAAGAAGGGCGCAUUGUAAGUACCAUUAACUACUCCAUGGAUGAAGAUAUCUGGAUUAAUUCUCCUCAUUUGUUUCAGAACAAUAUCUCUCACACUGUUGGCUACCAUUGUGUCAUCAGGGAGGUUCUUUAACCGAUACAAACAAUUAACAACAACCAUCUCAUUUCUGUCAAUCUUGAAAUCCUCAUAUUGGAUACUUUCCCAUUUCUGUGCUAUGGCAUUGUACUCAAAUGGGACAUUGAAUCUCUCACAGUAUUUUCUUAAGCGAUGACCUGUUUCUUCAACCCUUUCUGCAGGCCGGAAGCCCGGUUGAGGAAACUCAAUGCCUGUGAUACACAACUUUGGAGGUCCUCCACUCCUUGUUGAGAGACGCUCAAUAAGGGAAGGCCAUUGAAAGCCAUAGAGAAUGCCAUAAUCAAUAAUGUGUAGCCUAGUCACUUUCUCUGCCAGUUUCAUGAUAGUCUGGUUAGCAUAAAGGUAUGACAUUGUCUGGAAAGGGCAUGCCGUAACAUAUGUGUGGUAAGCUUUUAGCAUAUCAGCAGCUGAUGUUGUACUACUUACCACGGGUGUAUAUCCAGGCGUCCCUGUUCCAGCCAAUCGUGCCUCCAAGCCAUUGGCAAAGAAAUGUGCCAAUCUUUGGUUUCCAUCACCAUAAGGGGAAGAAUAUUGCUUUACCUGUCUCAGCUGUUCCUGUGCAGCCCUUUGGUCAUCGCUAGCCACAGCUAGCGCACAUUGAGGCAGGAGAGUCCAUAAAUCCACCACUUCCUUUUUACUACCUUUUUUCUUUGAGCGACAUUUUCUACCAAUAGACCCUUUUGUUUGCCCAUUGUUCUUCAACUUCCCUUCAUCAUUUUUUUGAAGAGAAAAUGACCCAGAAUCAUUCUUUCCUGUCUGACCGAGCAACACCUCGUCGAAUAUCUCUGUUUCCUCAGGCUUUUCAAGAGAGAUUGCAGAAUGCUUGUUGCUUCUCCCUUCUAGAUAGGCACUUUCCUCAAACUGAUGAAGUUUCCUCUCCCUCAAACCAUUAAACGAGUAAUAAUCCCUGGUGUUAUCCUUCUCUUGAAAAUCUGAUGGAAUCAAAGAACUAGCAUUUGAAAAUGACUGACUGCAUAAAUCUGGCACCUGGAGGGUAUUUACAUGAGAGAAUUCAAAUUCAGCGUGGUCAAAAAUCCAACUUGAUUCAACCAAGUUGAUGGAAGUAGAACAAGUGUUGCUGCUAUCACUACUGGCACUCCAAGUGAAAGCGCUGCCUAGGCUGUGAAUGUUUUGAUGAAAGUUGGAUGAUUGAUCCGACCAAGGAGGAUACUUCUGGCCAAGAACAUCAUAGAAAGAUUUCUCUGCAGCUUGGAGGGCUAAACCUUCAUGCAACAUACAGUUCUUGCUCUCUAAUUCUUCUUCCAUAAGCAUAUCACUUAUGUACUUGAGAACAGAAUUGGAGAAAUCACUAUUGUCGAGGGAAUCUGCUUCAGGGCUUGAACCUGAAUGUGAUGCUGAAUCCCUGCUUGAAGUGUGUGCAUUUGUUGGAAGCUGAUGUGGAUGAGGAUCUACAUAUUCAUGAUUCAGUUCAAAACCAUUGACAAGAUAGUGAUUUGGAAGGGCUGACAUGGUGCCACAGUCAAAUCUGAAUCUGGUCCUGGCACCUGGAGGUGCUCGGAGUAGAGCAUCAUCCAUAAAGACUACUGGUGGAACCAGACUGAAAUUUGAUUCUCAAAAACUGUCAACUUUGAUUCCCCUUUACCAGUUGCUGAGGAUCUUGGGCAAAAUAACAACACUGAAUGUUGUGGCUUAGUUAUACUAGGAUUUAAGGAGAGUUGGAGGGGAACAAAGAUGAAAUUUCUCCUAAAUUUAUACCAAGUAGCUGUAAACUCAGUUUUACUUGAAGAAAAUUGAAUAGAAAAAUUGCUUGUACAGACUAAGCAGGAAAAGUCCAGAAGCCUGUUUAAGAAGCCAAUGAACUAUAUACCAAUCAGCUUCCAAGCUUUGUAAUGAUCAGCUUUUCAUACAUGAGUGGUACCUUAGGUAUGUUUUAGCCAAUGGGAGAUGAUGAAUGUUAC